CGGUGAUUGGCGCAGCCUGGUAGCGCACUUCGUUCGGGACGAAGGGGUCGGAGCGAGUAAUCCUCUAUCACCGACCA
This 77-nucleotide transfer RNA is filed under the name Citrobacter sp. wls617. RNAcentral's name for it is "tRNA-Pro". Lineage: Bacteria; Pseudomonadati; Pseudomonadota; Gammaproteobacteria; Enterobacterales; Enterobacteriaceae. The record is from RNAcentral.